This 909-nucleotide long non-coding RNA is filed under the name Prunus dulcis (almond). RNAcentral describes it as "sRNA ncRNA". The record is from RNAcentral. Lineage: Eukaryota; Viridiplantae; Streptophyta; Magnoliopsida; Rosales; Rosaceae.
AAAAAAAUUAUAAUCUUGACAUAUUGUAAUCAAAUUAAUAUCCAAAAAGUAUCAGAGGAAUCUGCCACACACAAAUCAAGGUCCACUAAAAUAAACAUAACCAAUAGAAUAAUAAACUGGAAGGGGCCAAAAUACAAAUAAACCUAAAUUCCAAGAACAACCCAAAUCCCUAGUGCAGCAGCAGCUGCUGCUGCAAUGAGACCCAGUAACCCAGAUUACCAGCAAUAAAAAACCAAACCUAAAAACUAAAAAUUCAAAAUAAAACCAAGAACAGAAAAGGAUAAACAAAUUACAUAGAAAAACAAGAGAAUUAAAGAAACCCCCCUAGAAAGGUGCAGGUGCAGUGUAACCCAAGAAGGGUCUUCCAGUAGACCCACAAUAAGAUCCAUGAACAUUCGGAUCACAGAAAUUCACAGUAUCUUUGAUCUUGUGGAAGCCAUUCUUGAACACUCCAAACCCAAACAAAAGCCCCACCAAAACCACCACCAGUAUCAAACAAGUGCACAGCAUGCAAACUCUGCUUGGACAGCAGCACAUCUUUGCUUCACUUUGAGUGCUUCGAAUCUCUUUUUCCCUGGAAUUUCAGACCCAGAAAAAGGGUUCGCUGUUUGAGAUCUUGGGAUUUGGGAGAUGGGUUUUUAUCUGGGUUCUGAUAAAUGUGGGGGGAGUAGGGCUUUCGACGUCCUUAUCGGCGAUGGAGAAUGGAAACGCUUUGACGCUAAUGGGUAUCGUUCGCUUAAAAGGAAAGCAAAAUGAAUGCAUAUGGGUAUAUGGGAUUCGAAUUUUUGCCUUUUUAAUGGGUUGGAUAAUAGAAAGCAAAAUAAAAGGGUAUCUGUUAUUUUCCUCUUUUCCUCUAAACAAGAAAGACGGUUUGCUUUUGGACGUUGAUGACGUGGAGUGUUUUCAUAG